AACGAACGCUGGCGGCAGGCUUAACACAUGCAAGUCGAACGCCCCGCAAGGGGAGUGGCAGACGGGUGAGUAACACGUGGGAACAUGCCCAAAGGUACGGAAUAUCCUCGGGAAACUGGGAGCAAUACCGUAUGUGCCCGAAAGGGGAAAGAUUUAUCGCCUUUGGAUUGGCCCGCGUUGGAUUAGCUAGUUGGUGGGGGAAAAGCCUACCAAGGCGACGGUCCAUAGCUGGUCUGAGAGGACGACCAGCCACACUGGGACUGAGACACGGCCCAGACUCCUACGGGAGGAAGCAGUGGGGAAUCUUGGACAAUGGGCGCAAGCCUGAUCCAGCCAUGCCGCGUGAGUGAUGAAGGCCCUAGGGUUGUAAAACUCUUUCGUGGGGGACGAUAAUGACGGUACCCCAAGAAGAAGCUCCGGCUAACUUCGUGCCAGCCGCCGCAGUAA
RNAcentral lists this ribosomal RNA (447 nucleotides) under uncultured bacterium. RNAcentral's name for it is "partial 16S ribosomal RNA". It matches the Rfam family "Bacterial small subunit ribosomal RNA", at positions 29 to 523 of the family's 1533-position model. The record is from RNAcentral.